UUUUGCCUACGGGAGGCAGCAGUGGGGAAUCUUCCGCAAUGGGCGAAAGCCUGACGGGGCAAUGCCGCGUGAGUGAAGAAGGCCUUCGGGUUGUAAAGCUCUGUCUUCAGGGACGAUAAUGACGGUACCUGAGGAGGAAGCCACGGCUAACUACGUGCCAGCAGCCGCGGUAAUACGUAGGUGGCGAGCGUUGUCCGGAUUUACUGGGCGUAAAGGGAGCGUAGGCGGACUUUUAAGUGAGAUGUGAAAUACUCGGGCUCAACUUGAGUGCUGCAUUUCAAACUGGAAGUCUAGAGUGCAGGAGG
RNAcentral lists this ribosomal RNA (305 nucleotides) under uncultured bacterium. RNAcentral's name for it is "bacterial SSU rRNA". It matches the Rfam family "Bacterial small subunit ribosomal RNA", at positions 333 to 655 of the family's 1533-position model. The record is from RNAcentral.